UACGUAGGGUGCGAGCGUUGUCCGGAAUUACUGGGCGUAAAGAGCUCGUAGGCGGUGUGUCGCGUCGGCCGUGAAAACCUGCAGCUUAACUGUGGGCUUGCGGUCGAUACGGGCAUCACUGGAGUUCGGCAGGGGAGACUGGAAUUCCUGGUGUAGCGGUGAAAUGCGCAGAUAUCAGGAGGAACACCGGUGGCGAAGGCGGGUCUCUGGGCUGAUACUGACGCUGAGGAGCGAAAGCGUGGGGAGCGAACAGG
This 254-nucleotide ribosomal RNA is filed under the name uncultured bacterium. RNAcentral describes it as "partial 16S ribosomal RNA". It matches the Rfam family "Bacterial small subunit ribosomal RNA", at positions 524 to 776 of the family's 1533-position model. The record is from RNAcentral.